UCCAGACUCCUACGGGAGGCAGCAGUGGGGAAUAUUGGGCAAUGGACGCAAGUCUGACCCAGCAACGCCGCGUGAAGGAAGAAGGCUUUCGGGUUGUAAACUUCUUUUAAGGGGGAAGAGCAGAAGACGGUACCCCUUGAAUAAGCCACGGCUAACUACGUGCCAGCAGCCGCGGUAAUACGUAGGGAGCAAGCGUUGUCCGGAAUUACUGGGCGUAAAGGGCGCGUAGGUGGGCGCUUAAGUCAGGUGUGAAAACUCCGGGCUCAACCUGGAGACUGCACUUGAAACUGGGUGUCUUGAGGGCAGGAGAGGAAAGUGGAAUUCCUAGUGUAGCGGUGAAAUGCGUAGAUAUUAGGAGGAACACCAGUGGCGAAGGCGGCUUACUGGACGGCAACUGACGCUGAGGCUCGAAAGCGUGGGGAGCAAACAGGAUUAGAUACCCCAGUACA
Molecule: ribosomal RNA, 449 nt
Filed under: uncultured bacterium
Lineage: Bacteria
Description: bacterial SSU rRNA
Rfam family: Bacterial small subunit ribosomal RNA
Source: RNAcentral